RNAcentral lists this transfer RNA (71 nucleotides) under Podarcis lilfordi (Lilford's wall lizard). Its description in RNAcentral is "tRNA.Ala". The stretch from base 7 to 63 matches the Rfam family "tRNA", at positions 8 to 63 of the family's 71-position model. Rfam says of the family: Transfer RNA (tRNA) molecules are approximately 80 nucleotides in length. Their secondary structure includes four short double-helical elements and three loops (D, anti-codon, and T loops). The record is from RNAcentral. Lineage: Eukaryota; Metazoa; Chordata; Lepidosauria; Squamata; Lacertidae.
GGACCAUAGCUCAGUGGUAGAGCAUCUGCCUGGCAUGCAGGAAGUCCCAGGUUCGAUCCCUGGCAUCUCCA